AUCAAAAAAUUGUUUAUAUCGUGUCAACCUUUGUGCUUUGCCAUAAAUAUAAGUUAUUAUUUCACUUUGUGGUUAUUUUUAGGUUCCAAUGACGCCUAUGAGAAUAGUGCAAAAAUAAAAUUAUCACUACGGGAAUUGAGAAAAUGUUAGUCUUUUUUUAUGUAGUGUUUCUUAAUUAAUAUCUGACGAUUAUCUAUAAUUAUUUAAAAGGUUUAAAUGUUAAGGUUAUUUACAUAUUGUCACGCCUCAUUUUUACCUACGCCCUCGAGGAAGGGUGUAAAGGGAGUUUUCCAACUUAAAGUGACAAUCGAAACGGGAUUAUUUUAUUUAAAAUUCAGAGUAGCCACUUGAAAUAAUUUAUGGUGUCCCAAGUCACCCGUUUAAAUCCCGAAUCGAGGAAAAGAUUGACUCUGUUUAACAGUCCGCGAACCAGAAAUCCGGGUAAGGAAUUCUAUUAACCCGGGAGAAGGUGUUAGGCAUUCUCGGAUUCCGUGAUUCUAGCACGGUCGCUCAACUGUUAUAAUUGGGCUAUUUACUGAUUUUAAUACAUGUUUUAGCCUAUGGUGCAAUUUUAACUUUAUAACCGCUUUAUUUAAUCAUUUUAAGGAAGAUUGCAAUGUCAUUUGAAAAUACAUCUUGAACCACGUCACAUAAAUGCACCUGCGGUCCUCGACAUAUUUUAACAUUGUUGAGAUUUGGAUUUGGGUCGCAUAAAUGCGCACCCAAGUUUAGGAAUGUAAUUUUAAGUAUCGCGCCUAAAGCAACUACGCACUUUCAAGUUUUGCGAGGGCCAUGGAAAAUUCACUAAUGGAACACCUCGAUUUCUAAGGGUUCAAGCAUUAAUUAAGCGAGUGUCAUGCAUUUUUGAGGUUUUAUUUGGCACGGCGCACCUCAAUACAAUUUAAAGGAAAUUCGAAACUAAACUUUGAGAGCCAUAAAUUGUACAUUUGGCUUAAUACGGCACACCCCAAAUUAUUAAAAUAAGGGAAUUCAAACUAAGCUUUGGAGGGCCAUAAACUAUUUUUAUUGUCUAAUAUGGCACACCUCCAAUCUACUUUUAAGAGAGUCAAAGUUAAUUAAAGAAAAACCUCAAGGAAUUCGAAAGAGGUUUUUGUGUUAAAGAUCGACUUAAGAAAAUGGAAUAAGUGAACUAAUGCCCAUUCCCUUUUGACAUCUGAGCCCAAUAUCUUACUGAAAUGUCACAUGCUAGCAAACCGUUGAUUUUAAAACGAUUUAAGCCAAGCCUCAAUAGGAGGCCCAAUUCGAAAAACGUGUUGCAACUAGGAAACGGGGACUCAGGAUCGAAUCCCUGUAGUGGUAUAACAUGACACACAAACGAGUUUGGGCUUAAUCAUUGAUCUUAUGGACAUUUACACGAAAUUUUGACAAAAGAAUUGAUUUCGAAAGCAAUAAAGCAACAAAAAAAACAGUAUUAGCAACUAAAUAAUAAGCAGCUCCAACUUUUAAAUCUUCAAAGGACUUGAAAUAAAAUGCAAACAGAGCAUGUUUUGCAUAAGCAUACCAAUAACUUGCGAUUUGCCAAAGAGAGACCCAAACAUAAACUCUUGCAAGAUCUAAAGUUCAUUCCCAAAAUUCAUUAUACGCAGAAUCAAAAGCAACAAAGGCCACAAGCAGAUUUGAUCAACCUUACUUCCAACAAAAACAUUAUGCUCCCACACCCCCACAGAAACUUCUAAUAACAUAUCAAACAUUAAACUUACUCCCUUGUACCCUUGUUAACAACAAUUCAGAUAUGCAUAUAUUACCAAGCACAUCUACUGAUUUUGACCAAAAUUAAAAUACAUCUGAGACAUAUUAAUGUAAAUAAGUCUCUUUCACGACAUUUCAUCAGUCCUAAACUAAGUACUACUCAAAGAUUUUAUCUGUUCAGGAUAGAAUCCAACUAGCAUACAUGAUAAAUCAAGUAUCUAAGACAAUCAGCUAUGUAAAAAUAUUACAAACGAGACUAUUAUCAUUCUUUCAACUUUGUUUUCAUUUUAGUCUUCGAAUUUGACCUUACAUUGGGUAGAGUUCAGGAAAAUGUACCUGGGAAUGAAAAGAAAGCAAAGAGGAUCAGUGAAUAGGCAGUAGCAAAAAUAGCUUGAACCCCAGCAAUGGAAUAAUGUCAAAAGAACUCAGCAAAAUCAGCGUUGAUGCCCAGCAGACCCCAAAAUCAAAAUUGAAUUGAAACAGGGUCUCAAACACACGCUCAGCUUGAAACCAACUUUCCAAACCCAAAUUAACCCAUCUUUAAUACCAUGUAAACCAGAGAUAACUUCAGAAAAAGGAAAAACCACUUCAAGAAUCAAAUUAGAAAGCCAAUGGAACAGUGAAAUUUUUUGAACUUUCUCUUUCAGCCGUUGUGAUUUUCUGAAAUUUUUCCUCUCCAGGUUUGCCUUUAAAGGUAAGGCAAUAGGGCAACUAAUAGAGACUCAAAUUUUCUCUAGGCCCUUUUCAUGUUUUCAUUUUUGCCUAGAUAUCCCUAUUUAGUUUUCAGAUUUUCAAAACAAUCCCAAAGUCAGCUUCCAAGAAGCUUCCAUUUAAGUUAUACAAAGAUUCCCUAGACUAGACUACCCAAAAUACCCUUUGAGCCUCUGAAAACUACCCCUCUAACCCAAGUAUAGGUCACACUGACCCGACUCAAAUUGGUAGGGGUCUGCAAACCCAAAUUAAAUCCCCACUUGGGCUUUCUGAUUUUCGGAGUCCAAUUAAAAUCCAUCAGGGAUUCCCAACUCGAAAGACUGACCAAAAUUUCCCUACAAGAAAACCCGGAACCCCAUCUUUAAAAUGCAAUCAAGCAAGGACAAAGAUGAAUGAUCUAAUUAACAGGAAAUCGACUAAAUUAAGACCUAAUUAAGUGAUUUAACGAACCAAAAACUUAACCUGUUUAACAAACUAAAAAUGUCACAAAACGGAAUUCACGAAGAAAAAGAGAGAACAGAGAAAAAUAAUGAACAGAAAAACAAACUUGGACUCAGAAGAUGAAUUGAAUUUUCAACCAAAUUAUUAUAAGAAAACUAGUUUUAAGAAAGGGAAAGAUGAGGAUGACAGAAAGGAAACCGGAAAGGGAAAGGGGCUCACCAAAUCGAACCUCGAAACCGGACGGGGACAAAGAACUUAGCCAAACUUAUGUCGAUCCCUUGUUCUUUGUCAAGAACAACUGAACGACAUCAGUUUCGCCGAGUCCAAACCUCAGAGUUUGAAAGAAUAGCGCUCCCCGAACGUACAUGUGAAAAAUGACUUUGAACUUGUUGGGGGUUGAACUCGGAUUCCAGAUUCGCGGAGCUCCCGGUAGAUUCGAAGGAAAGUAGUUGUGGAUUUGGUAUGAGAGGAUAAUGGGGAUUGUAGGGUGUUAGUUUGGGGCGGUUUGGGAGCAGCGCCGCCAGCGACAAACAGUGGAAAUUAGGGCGGCGGCGCUAGGGUUUCGGUUUGGGGACGAUAAGU
RNAcentral lists this long non-coding RNA (3444 nucleotides) under Nicotiana tabacum (common tobacco). RNAcentral's name for it is "long non-coding RNA (NTAB_LNC001576)". The record is from RNAcentral. Lineage: Eukaryota; Viridiplantae; Streptophyta; Magnoliopsida; Solanales; Solanaceae.